Molecule: non-coding RNA, 22 nt
Filed under: Arabidopsis thaliana (thale cress)
Lineage: Eukaryota; Viridiplantae; Streptophyta; Magnoliopsida; Brassicales; Brassicaceae
Also listed under: 2 other names
Source: RNAcentral
CUUUGUACACACCGCCCGUCGC